CUGACAGUGAAAUCAAGAUAAAUAAGGUAUCUGAAACUCACCAGUAGGGGAGCAAACAUGGAAGGAUACAGAAGCUCUCAGAUGGGUGUACUGCACACACAUAAGAUGGUGGAUUAGCAGAUUAGUCACUGUUUUCCUGAAGAUAACAGAAGACUGGAAACUGCCUACCAUUCACCAACUGGGCACGAUGAAGCUGUUACCAUGGUGAUAGGGUCCCGGAUGGGUGUCCAGGUUCUUGUGUGUAGGAAUAAAGAAUUGGACAUGGCAUGUGAAGGUGGACAACUUGGGCAGUGUUCAGAUGGGAGUUGAUUCACUCCAGCAAGCCAGCAUGGUUUUACAGCAGGAGAGUGGAUCAUCCCAGCAGGCCUGCGCCUUUACUUCUACUCAAGUUCAGGCUGGCUUCUGGCCGUGAGGAUGGAGCUGGACCUGUGGAGCCUGCAACAGUCCGCGCACCCCACACUGGCUCAACCCGGGCUCCCUGAGCUCCUGACACUGGAGCCCUUGGGGCCCUCUGCAGAGGCUUCCAGCCAAUCGCCCUGUCCUGGAGGGGUCCGAACCCCAACAACUCAUCACCUGCAUCCGCUGCUGCCCUCCCCUGUUCUUCUCCAUGGAGGACCCCACUUGCCAGUGGUCUGCAGGUUCAAGCCCCCUUCCCACGUGCGAGUCUGGGCUCGGGAGAAGGCGCUGUCCCCUACAGCCUCCUCCUUUGUUGGACACGCUGUCAUGCUCUUCCUGAG
RNAcentral lists this long non-coding RNA (737 nucleotides) under Heterocephalus glaber (naked mole-rat). Its description in RNAcentral is "lncRNA (ENSHGLG00000033939.1)". The record is from RNAcentral. Lineage: Eukaryota; Metazoa; Chordata; Mammalia; Rodentia; Bathyergidae.